RNAcentral lists this unclassified non-coding RNA (410 nucleotides) under Cercozoa sp. Its description in RNAcentral is "partial contains small subunit ribosomal RNA, internal transcribed spacer 1, and 5.8S ribosomal RNA". The stretch from base 1 to 47 matches the Rfam family "Eukaryotic small subunit ribosomal RNA", at positions 1785 to 1831 of the family's 1831-position model. Lineage: Eukaryota; Cercozoa. The record is from RNAcentral.
AAAGUCGUAACAAGGUUUCCGUAGGUGAACCUGCGGAAGGAUCAUUAACACGUAUCCAAACGUUAAAACCCCCCGUGAACCUUUAGUGGAUGCUCGCCCGUCCCGUUAUUUGAAACUAGCAAUCCCUGGUAAAUCAUCGCCGAACAGUUUUGAUUCAGGGACUUCUAUGAAGCGAUGGUAUAGCUUGUAGCGCCUACAAGUGGUCUGGCAUUCCUCUGCUGAAGUAGAUGUCUGAAAGUGGCAUUAGCCCUGCAAGAAUGGCGCAGUAAACGAUCGCUGGAGGCCGACACGGCCGGCGACCGGACCGCUGACCUCCGGGUCCCUAGUUCACCUUUGCAAUUGACACGGCGAGCUGAAACGCCCGCACCCAAUACUUAGAACAACUGUUAACAAUGGAUAUCUUGGUUCUC